UGUAUUUUCUAGCUUACAAGAGCUCAAACAGCCGAGCUUUCCUUUCCAAUUGCAAUAAUAUUAUACUCCCCCCUUUCUAGAUUUACAGUUGUUGUUGCGGGCCAGCAGCAGUUAUUGUCGUAACUGAUAGUCGCGAUCACUCCGGACACUGAAGUACAAGGCGGCAGAAGCUCACCCAGACGGAUCGAAGACUGACUGCCACGGACAGUUGGUCAACUGGCGGAUUGGGCUAUAGCUAAUGCGAUCAAAGGCCUCAAAUUUGCAAGAUGAAGAUCAGAACCAGUCAGGGCUGGACGAAAGCGGAGCUGGAAGAAACCAAUGCUCAUCCUUACCAUCGUGAGUCACGUGCUGUCCGACAACCUCAGCAGUCAGAAAGAGAUGCUGAAACUGGCCAUCUACGGUUAGAAGACGUCACCAAUAGUAACGAGCAUACUCCUGCGCAUGCGGCGGACUCCAUGGACGGAUCUAGUAACGAGGAAGAGAAUGCACCUGAUGAACGUCACGAGUUAGUGAAUGAAAGCUCCUACAAUCUCGACAGUGUCAUCUACGAUGUGUGGUCCGAGUCAUUGCUACCUUACCUUGAUGUCAGGUCAAUUUUUCGCCUUUGCGGAGUGUCCCGGAAGCUACGAAAACUGUUGCUGACGGAGCAGACAUUCAAGGC
Sycon ciliatum is the source of this 661-nucleotide long non-coding RNA. RefSeq lists it as uncharacterized. Lineage: Eukaryota; Metazoa; Porifera; Calcarea; Leucosolenida; Sycettidae. The transcript is spliced from 3 exons. The record is from RefSeq and is a predicted model, not a curated record.